Molecule: ribosomal RNA, 260 nt
Filed under: Aspergillus sp. GR-24
Lineage: Eukaryota; Fungi; Ascomycota; Eurotiomycetes; Eurotiales; Aspergillaceae
Description: partial 28S ribosomal RNA
Rfam family: Eukaryotic large subunit ribosomal RNA
Source: RNAcentral
AGACCGAUAGCGAACAAGUAGAGUGAUCGAAAGAUGAAAAGCACUUUGAAAAGAGAGUUAAACAGCACGUGAAAUUGUUGAAAGGGAAGCGCUUGCAACCAGACUCGCUCGCGGGGUUCAGCCGGGCUUCGGCCCGGUGUACUUCCCCGCGGGCGGGCCAGCGUCGGUUUGGGCGGCCGGUCAAAGGCCUCCGGAAUGUAGCGCCCUUCGGGGCGCCUUAUAGCCGGGGGUGCAAUGCGCCCAGCCUGGACCGAGGAACG